Molecule: long non-coding RNA, 337 nt
Organism: Acipenser ruthenus (sterlet)
Lineage: Eukaryota; Metazoa; Chordata; Actinopteri; Acipenseriformes; Acipenseridae
Exons: 3
Source: RefSeq, a predicted model, not a curated record
UCUUUUCUAGCUUAUUGGGCAUCCCGGGAGUCUUGUACAGCUGGUGGUCCUACCUGGGACUCAGAGACCGCUUCAACAGAUCCAGAGAGAGAGAGAGAGAGAAAACCCAGCGGGAUGCUGACUCUUACCAUGGAGUGAAGCCCUCCAGGAAGCUUUAAAAACUUUAACACAGUCUUCUUUUGUUUAUUGUAAGUCCUUAGUUAGUGGUUCUCUUACGUUUAAGACUUUUUAAUUUAACCAAACCGAAUACCAGUGUUGGUAGGAGGGGAGGGUUUUCUUGGAGUUAUUUUAGUGAUUUAUGUAAAGAAAAUACGAUCUUUAAAGGAACUUUGAUUUA